This 773-nucleotide ribosomal RNA is filed under the name Neriene radiata. RNAcentral describes it as "SSU rRNA". It matches the Rfam family "Eukaryotic small subunit ribosomal RNA", at positions 993 to 1784 of the family's 1831-position model. Lineage: Eukaryota; Metazoa; Arthropoda; Arachnida; Araneae; Linyphiidae. The record is from RNAcentral.
GAGGUUCGAAGGCGAUCAGAUACCGCCCUAGUUCUUACCAUAAACGAUGCCAGCCAGCGAUCCGGCUGUGUUCCUCAAAUGACACGCCGGGCAGCUUCCGGGAAACCAAAGCUUUUGGGUUCCGGGGGAAGUAUGGUUGCAAAGCUGAAACUUAAAGGAAUUGACGGAAGGGCACCACCAGGUGUGGAGCCUGCGGCUUAAUUUGACUCAACACGGGGAAACUCACCCGGCCCGGACACAGGAAGGAUUGACAGAUUGAGAGCUCUUUCUUGAUUCUGUGGGUGGUGGUGCAUGGCCGCUCUUAGUUGGUGGAGCGAUUUGUCUGGUUUAUUCCGUUAACGAACGAGACUCUAGCCUACUAAAUAGACGUUCCGAUCCUCCGAGUCGGACGUUCUUCUUAGAGGGACGGGCGGCGUUUAGCCGCACGAAACAGAGCAAUAGCAGGUCUGUGAUGCCCUUUGAUGUCCGGGGCCGCACGCGCGCUACAUUGAAGGAACCAGCGUGUGCUUUCCCUGUCCGACAGGACUGGGUAACCCGUUGAACCUCCUUCGUGCUGGGGAUAGCAAAUUGUAAUUAUUUUGCUUGAACGAGGAACACCCAGUAAGCACGAGUCAUCAGCUCGUGUUGACUAUGUCCCUGGCCUUUGUUCACACCGCCCGUCGCUACUACCGAUUGAAUGAUUUAGUGAGGUCUUCGGACUGGCGCUCGGAUUGGCUUUCGGGUCGAGCCGACGUGCCGGAAAGAUGACCAAACUUGAUCAUUUAGAGGAAGUA